RNAcentral lists this ribosomal RNA (426 nucleotides) under uncultured prokaryote. Its description in RNAcentral is "bacterial SSU rRNA". It matches the Rfam family "Bacterial small subunit ribosomal RNA", at positions 355 to 796 of the family's 1533-position model. The record is from RNAcentral.
UGGGGAAUUUUCCGCAAUGGGCGCAAGCCUGACGGAGCAACGCCGCGUGAGGGAGGAAUGCCUGUGGGUUGUAAACCUCUUUUCUCUGGGAAGAAGUUCUGACGGUACCAGAGGAAUCAGCAUCGGCUAACUCCGUGCCAGCAGCCGCGGUAAGACGGAGGAUGCAAGCGUUAUCCGGAAUUAUUGGGCGUAAAGCGUCCGUAGGCGGUUAUUUAAGUCUGCUGUCAAAGCCUACAGCUCAACUGUGGAUAGGCAGUGGAAACUGGAUGACUAGAGUGCGGUAGGGGUAGAGGGAAUUCCCAGUGUAGCGGUGAAAUGCGUAGAUAUUGGGAAGAACACCAGUGGCGAAGGCGCUCUACUGGGCCGCAACUGACGCUGAUGGACGAAAGCUAGGGGAGCGAAUGGGAUUAGAUACCCCCGUAGUCC